UGCUGAUUUCUCUCCCAUGUGAAUCUGGAAAUUUGCCUGUUGUCACAGCCUGGUACAAGCUAUUCUGGGCCAGAAAAUCAGCCUUGUCUACAUUUUCAAGAAGCAAGACAGAUUGGGGCUUCUUGCUCAACUCCAUUGCAAUAUAAUCAACAACCGUCUUCCCCCUAAAUUUCACAUCAUAAUCAUUUAAUUCUUGGCAUUCAAAGACAGAAUCUGAUGGGUUAACCCCACCUUGGAAGCUCAAAUCCACAGA
This 253-nucleotide unclassified non-coding RNA is filed under the name Hevea brasiliensis (rubber tree). Lineage: Eukaryota; Viridiplantae; Streptophyta; Magnoliopsida; Malpighiales; Euphorbiaceae. The record is from RNAcentral.